Molecule: ribosomal RNA, 450 nt
Filed under: uncultured bacterium
Lineage: Bacteria
Description: bacterial SSU rRNA
Rfam family: Bacterial small subunit ribosomal RNA
Source: RNAcentral
CUCUGUGACUCCUACGGGAGGCAGCAGUGGGGAAUAUUGCACAAUGGGCGCAAGCCUGAUGCAGCAACGCCGUGUGAGUGAAGAAGGUUUUCGGAUCGUAAAACUCUGUCCUAAGGGAAGAAAAAAUGACGGUACCUUAGGAGGAAGCCCCGGCUAACUACGUGCCAGCAGCCGCGGUAAUACGUAGGGGGCAAGCGUUAUCCGGAAUCACUGGGCGUAAAGGGUGCGUAGGCGGCUUGACAAGCCAGGGGUGAAAGGCAUUGGCUCAACCAAUGUAAGCCUUUGGAACUGUUAAGCUUGAGUGCAGGAGAGGUAAGUGGAAUUCCUAGUGUAGAGGUGAAAAUUCGUAGAUAUUAGGAGGAACACCAGUGGCGAAGGCGACUUACUGGACUGUAACUGACGCUGAUGCACGAAAGCGUGGGUAGCGAACAGGAUUAGAUACCCUGGUAG